Molecule: ribosomal RNA, 709 nt
Filed under: Hyaloperonospora thlaspeos-perfoliati
Lineage: Eukaryota; Oomycota; Peronosporomycetes; Peronosporales; Peronosporaceae
Description: partial large subunit ribosomal RNA
Rfam family: Eukaryotic large subunit ribosomal RNA
Source: RNAcentral
CGGCGAGUGAAGCGGGAUGAGCUCAAGCUUAAAAUCUCUGUCACAUAUUUAUUAUGUGCGGCGAAUUGUAGUCUAUAGAAGCGUGGUCAGUGUAGGCACUUGAGAUAAGUUCCUUGAAAAAGGACAGCAUGGAGGGUGAAACUCCCGUUCAUACUUGAGUAGCUUAUGCGUACGACCCGUUUUCUUUGAGUCGCGUUGUUUGAGAAUGCAGCGCAAAGUAGGUGGUAAAUUCCAUCUAAAGCUAAAUAUUGGUGCGAGACCGAUAGCGAACAAGUACCGUGAGGGAAAGAUGAAAAGAACUUUGAAAAGAGAGUUAAAGAGUACCUGAAACUGCUGAAAGGGAACCGGAUCGUUUCUAGUGUCUAUAAUCUGUGACAUAUUUCAUUGGGGAGUGUGUGCGUGUGUAUACUAUGGCAGUGGCUUUUUUGGCUGCGCUUGGUGUGCGUGCUGUAUGUGCUUACUGGUGCCCUGUGUUGCGGUGGGACGUCAAGGUCGGUUUGUAUACUGCGGGAAAUGGCUAUUGAGGAGGUAGGGCUUACGCUUGCGUUUGUCUAUUAUAUCUUGAUAGUUGUUGUGUCGUGGUUGAAACUGAGGUGUCUAAAACGUGCUUAUGAGUGGGACUGUGUCUCCGUGUGCGCCGUGUGCGGAUAGCUUGCUAUGUGUGUGUGGUAGUGUGUGGAUUGAUGCGGGCUUUAACUUGUUGCCGUUC